This 148-nucleotide small RNA is filed under the name Macaca fascicularis (crab-eating macaque). RNAcentral describes it as "Metazoan signal recognition particle RNA (ENSMFAG00000060547.1)". RNAcentral also lists the same sequence under 1 other name. The record is from Rfam by way of RNAcentral. Lineage: Eukaryota; Metazoa; Chordata; Mammalia; Primates; Cercopithecidae.
GCCGGGUGUGGUGGUGUGCGCCUGUAAUCCCAGCUACUCAGGAGGCUGAGGCAGGAGAAUCACUUGAACCUGGGAGGCAGAGGUUGCAGUGAGCUGAGAUCACACCAUUGCCCUCCAGCCUGGGUGACAAAGUGAGAUUCUGUCUCAA